RNAcentral lists this transfer RNA (67 nucleotides) under Marmota monax (woodchuck). RNAcentral's name for it is "tRNA.Ala". It matches the Rfam family "tRNA". From Rfam's summary of the family: Transfer RNA (tRNA) molecules are approximately 80 nucleotides in length. Their secondary structure includes four short double-helical elements and three loops (D, anti-codon, and T loops). The record is from RNAcentral. Lineage: Eukaryota; Metazoa; Chordata; Mammalia; Rodentia; Sciuridae.
GGUUAUGGCUCAGUGGUAGAGCACUUGCCUAGCAUGUGUGAGGCCCUGGGUUCAAUCCCCAGCACCA